CCUACGGGAGGCAGCAGUCGGGAAUAUUGCGCAAUGGAGGAAACUCCGACGCAGUGACGCCGCGUGCAGGAAGAAGGUUUUCGGAUUGUAAACUGCUUUAGACAGGGGAGAAAAACGACAGUACCUGUAGAAUAAGCUCCGUCGCACUACGUGCCAGCACCCGCGGUAAUACGGCGGGAGCAAGCGUUAUACGGAUUUAAUGGGUGUAAAGGGUGCGUAGGCGGAGAAGCAAGUUAGUUGUGAAAUCCCUCGGCUUAACUGAGGAACUGCAACUAAAACUACUUCCCUUGAGUACUGGAGAAGAAAGUGGAAUUCCUAGUGUAGCGGUGAAAUGCGUAGAUAUUAGGAGGAACACCAGUGGCGAAGGCGACUUUCUGGACAGUAACUGACGUUGAGGCACGAAAGUGUGGGGAGCAAACAGGAUUAGAUACCCCUGUAGUC
Molecule: ribosomal RNA, 441 nt
Filed under: uncultured bacterium
Lineage: Bacteria
Description: partial 16S ribosomal RNA
Rfam family: Bacterial small subunit ribosomal RNA
Source: RNAcentral